Molecule: long non-coding RNA, 611 nt
Organism: Nycticebus coucang (slow loris)
Lineage: Eukaryota; Metazoa; Chordata; Mammalia; Primates; Lorisidae
Exons: 3
Source: RefSeq, a predicted model, not a curated record
GCCCCUGGUGAGUGUUGAUGUCUCACCGCAGAGCGAUCAGUAGGACUGGGUGACUAAAUUCCAGGAAAGCUCUCCGAGGAAUGCUCUGUCCUGGCGUGGGAUGUGCAUGGAGCACCCUGUCUUGUUAAAGCUCCAAGCAGAACUUGGCUGCAGUCUGCAACAUGUGGAGUGGGCUUCCUAAAGCAGCAGGGCCCUUGACCCUGGGGCCAGGAGGUAGGUGGGGCCUGGGGUGAUGCUCUCACAGCUAACCUGUGAUCUGAUCCAGGGCAGGUGCAGGGCAGGGCCUGACUGAGGAGGUGAAAGAAGGGGUGGGGACCAGGCUGUCUGGCUGAAUGUUCCCAUGAAGGGGCAACACACAUUGAACUGCCUGGGGAUGGGCCUAGGAUUCCCAUGGGUCUGUGAACACCUGUUCCAGGGCCUUGGCCCUGGUGAGUUCCCUGCCUGGAUGCUUUUUGGUGCCACAGGUCAGCUCUUCCUGCUCACUCAGCCAUCCAUCUUCCAGCUUCUGUACAUAGUCAUCUCAAUCUCAGCCUGGUUUAUUCCUUAGUUUGCUGUUGAUCAGAGCCCUGACCUGGAGGGCAGAGAGGCGCCCUUGCCAGUGACCGCAGCCC